Non-coding RNA from Podarcis lilfordi (Lilford's wall lizard), 81 nucleotides. NCBI's taxonomy places the organism in Eukaryota, Metazoa, Chordata, Lepidosauria, Squamata, Lacertidae. The record is from the annotation of a GenBank genome assembly.
GGGAUAGCUCAGUUGGUAAAGCUUGAGACUCUUAAUCUCAGGGUUGUGCCCCCAUUGGAUAAAAGAUUCCAGCAUUGAUCA